This 821-nucleotide unclassified non-coding RNA is filed under the name Dulcamara mottle virus. RNAcentral describes it as "subgenomic RNA". The record is from RNAcentral. Lineage: Riboviria; Orthornavirae; Kitrinoviricota; Alsuviricetes; Tymovirales; Tymoviridae.
AAUAGCAAAAUGGAUGAAUCAAAAAUUGUGACCGUCAAGCAGCCCAGCAUAUCUGCCCCCGGGUUCACUCUGUCCGCUCCAGAAGGAGAACAGGCUGGCUCCAUCCGCCAAAUCUUCCAGUUUGAGGCCACUUCUGUAGGCGUUGUUGAAACUCUGGCCCAAGUCAGCCUUUCCGCCUCCGAGUCUCUUGCCAAGCUCACUGCUGGAUACAGGCGAGCCAAACUCGUCGAGCUCUUUCUCACCAUCACUCCUACUCAGCUUGCCAUAGACAAUCCCGUCACCGUUGACGUUGUCUGGGUUCCUGCUAAUUCCACAGCCACUCCCUCCAAGAUCCUCUCCGUCUACGGUGGCCAAAGAUUCCUCAUUGGAGGCACUUUGACCACCUCUCAAGUUAUCCGCGUUCCUUGCAACUUGCAAUCUGUUAACGCAAUGAUCAAGGACUCCACCAUUUACACUGACUCCCCAAAGCUCCUGGUUUACUCGCCAGUCGCCAAAGGGUCUCCCAAAACCCCUUCUGCAACAGUCCAGAUUGCCGGACAAAUCCUUCUUUCUGCCCCUCUCUUGCAGGCACUCUGAUUUCUUCACACUUCAGAGCCCUGUCAGCAAAACAAAUUACCAAAAAAAAAAAAAAAAAAAAAAAAAAAAAAGAAAAAAAAAAAAAACAAAACAAAACAAACCUUUUCCCUACAGCCUACCUUCUUCAGUGGGCUCUCUAAUCUGCCAUUCUCCGUCUUGGCCGAUCCAUCCUUCCCUCAUUAGUGUCACCACUAAGCUCCCCCGCUCCUUCAGCAAGAGCCGUCUUCGCGACGUUAAAGCGAUUC